Small nucleolar RNA from Ciona intestinalis (vase tunicate), 70 nucleotides. Its record names the gene SNORD18. It matches the Rfam family "Small nucleolar RNA SNORD18". From Rfam's summary of the family: U18 is a member of the C/D class of snoRNA which contain the C (UGAUGA) and D (CUGA) box motifs. It is encoded in introns of ribosomal protein L1 in Xenopus and human, and in introns of elongation factor 1 beta in yeast. The record is from Ensembl. NCBI's taxonomy places the organism in Eukaryota, Metazoa, Chordata, Ascidiacea, Phlebobranchia, Cionidae.
UGGAGAUGAUGAGCUGUACUUCAGGUCCGUGUUUUUGAUACCACUUGAUAUCAAUUGAAGUUCUGAUCAA